UCGACGCCACACGGGCUUGUGGUCGCCCCGUGUGGUAGGUCAUGUGCGAAUACACAGCCGUGUGGUCAACGAAGGCAUGGUAGUGUGCAGCACACGGUCGUGUAGUGGCUCGAGUGUGGCCGUGUGGGCCACACGGGCAACACCAAUUUGGGCGCGUGGGCCACUUGGGCGAGUGGGCCCACACGGGUAAACACACGAGCG
Molecule: long non-coding RNA, 201 nt
Filed under: Gossypium barbadense (sea-island cotton)
Lineage: Eukaryota; Viridiplantae; Streptophyta; Magnoliopsida; Malvales; Malvaceae
Description: long non-coding RNA (GBAR_LNC011148)
Source: RNAcentral